CUUAUUCAUGUCCUAAUAGACCUCAUGUAUCAUGGCAAUCAACAUCAUUGAAGAAUUUGAAGCCAAAUCAGAAAUUUCCAAAAAUAGAAACUGGACUUGUGAUUUUAACUGCCAAAAAUGGAAACUUCUUGAUCCUCAACUUGCAUCAUGAUACAAGUUUCAAAUGAAUUUUUGCCCAACAUGAAAGUUGAAGAUCUUGUUCUCCCAUUUUCAAAAAGUCCAA
This 223-nucleotide long non-coding RNA is filed under the name Lathyrus oleraceus (garden pea). RNAcentral describes it as "Pisum sativum (pea) long non-coding RNA (PSAT_LNC007358)". The record is from RNAcentral. Lineage: Eukaryota; Viridiplantae; Streptophyta; Magnoliopsida; Fabales; Fabaceae.